UUUUUAACAGACCCACGAGGGGCCAGACCUAUACACACCCUCAAGGGUGGAGAGAACCCUGCCUCCCACACUCCAGUGGGGCUGCCGCCACCUCGGCCAUCCAAGUUGCACUUGCAGAAAUUAACUGCGUCUGAGGCCUGGAGAGGAAACGCCUCCAAACCGCCUUCACCUGGGCUGAGGCAGAGGCGGGGCACAGCGAGGCCCAACAAGCCCCACCUGUAUAUUAUAUUAGUUUUGGAUUAGACAUGUCAAGUGCUUGGGAACUCCUCCUGACUGAGUGAGCGCACGCCUCCCAUUGCUGACAGACGUGAUGUUUUACCGGUUGCUAUCGGUGGUCCAAAGACAAAGAACCAGCCGAGGAUGGCAGAACUGGCCCUCAGCCAGAAGUGGUGCAUCAGCGGCCGAGGCGCAUUCUGUCGCCCUGCCUGCCCAGGCGCAGGUGGUCAUCUGUGGCGGGGGAAUCAUGGGCACAUCCGUGGCCUAUCACCUGUCCAAGAUGGGGUGGAAGGACAUUGUCCUUUUGGAGCAGGGCAGGCUGGCUGCUGGCUCUACGAGGUUCUGUGCAGGCAUCAUAAGCACUGCCAGGCACUUGGGCAUUGAGCAGAAGAUGGCAGACUAUUCAAACAAACUGUACCAGCAGCUGGAGCAAGAAACAGGGAUCCAAACAGGUGUACAGAUCUAUGACCGGACAAGUGUUAUUCACGUGAUGAUCAAAAAAGGUGAAGUUACUGGCGUGGAGACUGAUAAAGGACAGAUCGAAUGCCAGUAUUUUGUCAAUUGUGCUGGUCAGAGCCCCUGUUGAGCUCCCUCCUGCGUAGGAUGCCAGACCUGGAGACAUUGGAGAUCAUGAAGUUGGUCAACUGCCCCGAGACCUUCACACCAGACAUGAGGUGCAUCAUGGGUGAGUCUCCUUUGGUUAAGGGCUACUUUGUCCUGGCAGGAAUGAACUCUGCUGGCCUUUCGUUUGGUGGAGGAGCUGAAAGGUUAAAAAAGAUUCCCUCAAUUGAAUAUGCUGACAAGAUAGAAGAGGCCCCCCGUCCCCCACCGCUCCCCAAGAGGUGAUGAUGGAUCCUUUCAGAGAAGAAAGUACCAACCAUCUUAAAGUCCAUCCCCCCAGUCACAGGAGUCCAGAACCCCUCGAAUCCCUAGAGAGAGGUAAGUGGUCACACAAGACAAACACUUGGGGCCUCACUGCCCCAGAGAUGGAAAUGACAUACACAUUAGGUGUUGAGACUGUCAUUUAUGCUAGAGGUGGGAGUCAGUCAACCCCUCCAGAUUUAGGACCAAAUGGAGAAAACUACCAGAUUCACGCUGCCUGUAUCUGAACAAAAAGAGACUUCAGGGAUAAACUUUGAAGUGCCCAAAACUAAUGUGUGCUGCAGGGCACUCAAUAAACAAGUGACGCCCUCUGCUGUGGACAAGAAGACAUUUAUGCGUAACUAGAAAAGGUGAUUCGGGAAUGGUGCAGAGCGUGUAAUACCUGUAGCCCUCUAGCACCUGUUUCCAUCUUCUUGGGCCAGUCGGCUCCCUGCUGGUUACCUGCAUUGGCACAGCUCCUGUUCUCCCACGGGGCACACCUCUCCUUUCUCCUCUGUGCCUAGGAGCAACAUCUCUCAGCCAUUACAUACACAUCUGCACCAGAAUAGCAAGGCCCGCCAAGCAAUUCUAAUCACAUGCUCCCUUAACAAAUCAACUAAGACCUCCUAAAAAGGUGGGCACUGGCUGGGGAAAUGGCAAGACAUGCCUAGAGGCAGACAGUCUGAUUAAGGGGGUAAAUAGCAGCCAGAGCAGGCUAGCACCUGGAGCACCUUCGUUAUUAGACUUACAGACCUAGCAGAGCUAAUGUGUCUACGAUGUCAAUACAACAAAGGCUGCAGUUAAUUAGUUACAUCUCUAGCAACAGUUUAUACUUUUAAGAAAUCAGCUUUGGUGACAGGGGAAACUAAGAAUUAAGUGUUGGGAUGAAUAGUAUAGUCUGAUGUCACUCAAUUUUCACCCUUGAAAGACAUUUCUGAACUGUGCGUGACCCUCUUGGAAGCACUCCAGUCACUUUCUAUUCCAGACGAGACGGAAAGCAAGGAUGGAAAGCAGUCUGCUAGGCUCACACAACAGACACCCUCUUCGCUCAGAACCCACGUGGGUCAGCUGUGGAUCUGUCCUGCCCGAGGAAGCAGAACUUGGCAGUCUAGUCCUCUUGAACUCAGUAUGUGUGCUGCCCUACCUUCCCCUCCCUCUUCCUAAAGGGAAGAAAUAUUUGCUGAGCUAGUGAGCCUACCACCGAAGGGACAGGAAGAGAAAGCAGCACUGUUUGGUGUUGGUACUUUCUGAGGUUAAGACCCUUUCCUUUCAUCUGAAAAAAGCAACAUGGUUUUCCCCUUUCAAAUACUGUGGCUCACUUGUUUACUCAACCAAACAAGCAAAGCCCCUCAUUACAGAGAUUAACAAGCGAUGAAGAAAAUUAUAGGCAGGUGUCCCUGGUCCUCUGGUCGAGAACUAGUUGUUAGGGAGACUGGGAAUAAUGUCAGCUUGACUUUAUCUCUGCAGCCCACCCGAUGCCUCUCGUCAGUGAGGUAGAUGGUCAUCUUGCUCGAGGUAUCAUGGUGCCAGCCCACAGCACAGUGGAACAGGAACGCAGCUGCCUGGCUGAAGGCACAACUGCCUCAGGGCCCUAACAAGCACACAGCAACUCAUCACCGUCAGCAGGCGGCUCUGAGAACACCUGGCCCACGGAGAUGGACUCCUGCCUGCACACCACCAGCUUCCCUGGCUUCCCAACACAGCAUGUGACAUCCGACUGCCACCACACACACUUCUACAAGUGGGGCUUGCUCCUGUCCCCAUGGGAAUCUGAGACGGGUGGACGGAUGGGACAAACAGCUCAGACUGAGUGUGAGGAGAUGAAAGGACAAGAGAGGCUGCAAAGCAAAAAGUUUAAAAUGAUACCAAGGAGAUAA
RNA transcript from Myotis brandtii (Brandt's bat), 2954 nucleotides. It is a transcript of the gene named pyruvate dehydrogenase phosphatase regulatory subunit, mitochondrial, with no coding region annotated. The record is from RefSeq and is a predicted model, not a curated record. NCBI's taxonomy places the organism in Eukaryota, Metazoa, Chordata, Mammalia, Chiroptera, Vespertilionidae. The transcript is spliced from 6 exons.